This 213-nucleotide long non-coding RNA is filed under the name Elaeis guineensis (African oil palm). RNAcentral describes it as "long non-coding RNA (EGUI_LNC022754)". Lineage: Eukaryota; Viridiplantae; Streptophyta; Magnoliopsida; Arecales; Arecaceae. The record is from RNAcentral.
GAUGUGGAUUAUUUUAACCAUUAUAGAUAGGGCUGGAUAGGAUCUAAAAGCAAAAUCCAUGACAUCGAAAAGUUAAGUCGCAAGUCAAACUACUAAAGACUAUAGCUUGGUUAUUUGAUAUCUGAUUUUGAUGAUUUCUUUUUUAAUUAGACAGUUUUUUAAAUUUGAUAGACAUCUGACCCAUCUGGAUAUAGUUGGAUCUGAUCGGCAUUU